UGGGGAAUAUUGCGCAAUGGACGGAAGUCUGACCGAGCAACGCCGCGUGAGUGAAGAAGGUUUUCGGAUCGUAAAGCUCUGUUGUAAGAGAAGAACGAGUGUGAGAGUGGAAAGUUCACACUGUGACGGUAACUUACCAGAAAGGGACGGCUAACUACGUGCCAGCAGCCGCGGUAAUACGUAGGUCCCGAGCGUUAUCCGGAUUUAUUGGGCGUAAAGCGAGCGCAGGCGGUUAGAUAAGUCUGAAGUUAAAGGCUGUGGCUUAACCAUAGUACGCUUUGGAAACUGUUUAACUUGAGUGCAGAAGGGGAGAGUGGAAUUCCAUGUGUAGCGGUGAAAUGCGUAGAUAUAUGGAGGAACACCGGUGGCGAAAGCGGCUCUCUGGUCUGUAACUGACGCUGAGGCUCGAAAGCGUGGGGAGCAAACAGGAUUAGAUACCCUGGUAGUCCACGCCGUAAACGAUGAGUGCUAGGUGUUGGGUCCUUUCCGGGACUCAGUGCCGCAGCUAACGCAUUAAGCACUCCGCCUGGGGAGUACGACCGCAAGGUUG
RNAcentral lists this ribosomal RNA (550 nucleotides) under uncultured bacterium. Its description in RNAcentral is "bacterial SSU rRNA". It matches the Rfam family "Bacterial small subunit ribosomal RNA", at positions 355 to 896 of the family's 1533-position model. The record is from RNAcentral.